RNAcentral lists this ribosomal RNA (439 nucleotides) under uncultured Pseudorhodoferax sp. Its description in RNAcentral is "bacterial SSU rRNA". It matches the Rfam family "Bacterial small subunit ribosomal RNA", at positions 338 to 769 of the family's 1533-position model. Lineage: Bacteria; Pseudomonadati; Pseudomonadota; Betaproteobacteria; Burkholderiales; Comamonadaceae. The record is from RNAcentral.
CCUACGGGGGGCAGCAGUUAAGAAUAUUCCGCAAUGGACGAAAGUCUGACGGAGCGACGCCGCGUGGAUGAAGAAUGCCGAAAGGUUGUAAAAUCCUUUUAAGCCUGAGGAAUAAGCAGAGGAGGGAAUGCCUUUGCGGUGACUGUAGGGCUUGAAUAAGCAACGGCUAAUUACGUGCCAGCAGCCGCGGUAACACGUAAGUUGCGAGCGUUGUUCGGAAUUAUUGGGCGUAAAGGGCAUGUAGGCGGAAAUGCAAGCUUGAUGUGAAAUACUGCAGCUUAACUGCGGAACUGCAUUGAGAACUGCGUAUCUUGAAUUACUGAAGGGUAACCGGAAUUCCACGUGUAGGGGUGAAAUCUGUAGAUAUGUGGAAGAACACCAAUGGCGAAGGCAGGUUACCGGCAGAUAAUUGACGCUGAGGUGCGAAAGUGCGGGGAGC